UUUUAAUGGAUCUUUUAUUUAUUUAAAUAUUUCAAUAAUUGAAAUUAUUUUUUUAAAAAUUGAUUAAAUGAUAUUUAAAAACAUAAUUCUAAAAAAAUUCUUUCAUUCUUUCGUUUUCUUUUUUGUUUAUAUAAUUGAUUUUUAGAUAUUUAUUUAUUUGGUUAUUCCUAAUAAAUUAAGUAAAUACUUAUUAUUAUUAAAUGAAUAAGUGCAUAAUUAACCCUAAAUCUACAACUUUUUU
This 241-nucleotide long non-coding RNA is filed under the name Lathyrus oleraceus (garden pea). RNAcentral describes it as "Pisum sativum (pea) long non-coding RNA (PSAT_LNC004474)". Lineage: Eukaryota; Viridiplantae; Streptophyta; Magnoliopsida; Fabales; Fabaceae. The record is from RNAcentral.